GGCAUUGAAGAAAUGCAACAUUAGUUGUAUUCAUAAAUGUGUACUUUGUAGCACCUUGUUUUUACAAUCAGCAUUUCAGCAUCUACAAACUAGACUCACCUAUUAGAUCUGUGUGUAAUUGUUGGUCGAAGAAGUUAAACAAAAACAAAACCAAAAGAUACAAAGAGUUAGAGACUCAAUAUCUACGUUCUAUGAGUCCAUAACCUUAAAGUUAUAAGAAUUUAGAAACCAAAAAUAGAAGAAAAUCGAAAAUUGAGAGAUAUUAAUAAUAAAACAACUAAUCUAAUGUCCAGGGCCACUUUUGCUUGGCCCAGAAGUAAGUCUAAAUUUCAAGCUCCGUGAUGAAUGAUGAGUACUAGGUUUGUUAGAAGAAACAUCAAAUGUUGUCAUUCCAAGUGAAGAGUUUGUUUCAUUAAUCUCUUCAUAACCCUCACCCAUCUUUGUCUUUAACUCCAUUUGUUGAAGAACUCUGCUUUCCACAAAACAGUACUCUGAUGAAAUCAUAAUUACUAUAAUAAUCAACAUAAUAUUACAAAGGAUCUUCUUCAUCUUCAUAUUUGUUUUCUAUAAGAGGUGGGAAAUGUAAUUAUGUAAGUAUGGUAUGUAAUGUAUAGAUG
RNAcentral lists this long non-coding RNA (617 nucleotides) under Lupinus angustifolius (narrow-leaved blue lupine). Its description in RNAcentral is "long non-coding RNA (LANG_LNC000425)". The record is from RNAcentral. Lineage: Eukaryota; Viridiplantae; Streptophyta; Magnoliopsida; Fabales; Fabaceae.